RNAcentral lists this ribosomal RNA (500 nucleotides) under uncultured bacterium. RNAcentral describes it as "partial 16S ribosomal RNA". It matches the Rfam family "Bacterial small subunit ribosomal RNA", at positions 30 to 523 of the family's 1533-position model. The record is from RNAcentral.
AUUGAACGCUGGCGGAAUGCUUUACACAUGCAAGUCGAACGGCAGCACGGGGGCAACCCUGGUGGCGAGUGGCGAACGGGUGAGUAAUACAUCGGAACGUGCCCAGUCGUGGGGGAUAACGCAGCGAAAGCUGUGCUAAUACCGCAUACGAUCUACGGAUGAAAGCGGGGGAUCGCAAGACCUCGCGCGAUUGGAGCGGCCGAUGGCAGAUUAGGUAGUUGGUGGGGUAAAGGCCUACCAAGCCAUCGAUCUGUAGCUGGUCUGAGAGGACGACCAGCCACACUGGGACUGAGACACGGCCCAGACUCCUACGGGAGGCAGCAGUGGGGAAUUUUGGACAAUGGGCGCAAGCCUGAUCCAGCCAUUCCGCGUGCAGGAUGAAGGCCUUCGGGUUGUAAACUGCUUUUGUACGGAACGAAAAGGCUCUCUCUAAUACAGGGGGCUCAUGACGGUACCGUAAGAAUAAGCACCGGCUAACUACGUGCCAGCAGCCGCCGUAA